AUUGAACGCUGGCGGCAGGCCUAACACAUGCAAGUCGAACGAGUGGCGGACGGGUGAGUAAUGUCUGGGAAACUGCCUGGGGGAGGGGGAUAACUACGGGAAACGGUAGCUAAUACCACAUACCAUCAGAUGUGCCCAUAUGGGAUGAGAUAGUGGGUGGGGUAAGGGCUCACAAAGGCGACGAUCGCUAGCUGGUCUGAGAGGAUGACCAGUCACACUGGAACUGAGACACGGUCCAGACUCCUACGGGAGGCAGCAGUGGGGAAUAUUGCACAAUGGGCGAAAGCCUGAUGCAGCCAUGCCGCGUGUAUGAAGAAGGCCUUCGGGUUGUAAAGUACUUUCAGCGGGGAGGCGUUACCCGCAGAAGAAGCACCGGCUAACUCCGUGCCAGCAGCCGCGGUAAUAC
RNAcentral lists this ribosomal RNA (406 nucleotides) under uncultured bacterium. RNAcentral describes it as "partial 16S ribosomal RNA". It matches the Rfam family "Bacterial small subunit ribosomal RNA", at positions 29 to 526 of the family's 1533-position model. The record is from RNAcentral.